RNAcentral lists this transfer RNA (74 nucleotides) under Bacillus sp. (in: firmicutes). RNAcentral describes it as "Bacillus sp. (in: Bacteria) tRNA-Arg". It matches the Rfam family "tRNA". From Rfam's summary of the family: Transfer RNA (tRNA) molecules are approximately 80 nucleotides in length. Their secondary structure includes four short double-helical elements and three loops (D, anti-codon, and T loops). Further hydrogen bonds mediate the characteristic L-shaped molecular structure. tRNAs have two regions of fundamental functional importance: the anti-codon, which is responsible for specific mRNA codon recognition, and the 3' end, to which the tRNAs corresponding amino acid is attached (by aminoacyl-tRNA synthetases). tRNAs cope with the degeneracy of the genetic code in two manners: having more than one tRNA (with a specific anti-codon) for a particular amino acid; and 'wobble' base-pairing, i.e. permitting non-standard base-pairing at the 3rd anti-codon position. Lineage: Bacteria; Bacillati; Bacillota; Bacilli; Caryophanales; Bacillaceae. The record is from RNAcentral. RNAcentral also lists the same sequence under 6 other names.
GUCCCAGUAGCUCAGCUGGAUAGAGCGACAGCCUCCUAAGCUGUAGGUCAUGAGUUCGAAUCUCGUCUGGGACG